UACGUAGGCAGCGAGCGUUGUUCGGAGUUACUGGGCGUAAAGGGUGUGUAGGCGGUUCUUUAAGUUUGGUGUGAAAUCUCCCGGCUCAACCGGGAGGGUGCGCCGAAUACUGAGGGACUCGAGUGCGGGAGAGGAAAGUGGAAUUCCUGGUGUAGCGGUGAAAUGCGUAGAUAUCAGGAGGAAUACCUAUGGCGAAAGCAGGUAUCUGGGCCAUCACUGACGCUGAGCUGCGAAAGCUAGGGGAGCAAACAGG
This 253-nucleotide ribosomal RNA is filed under the name uncultured bacterium. Its description in RNAcentral is "partial 16S ribosomal RNA". It matches the Rfam family "Bacterial small subunit ribosomal RNA", at positions 524 to 776 of the family's 1533-position model. The record is from RNAcentral.